UAUGACAUUGAUACCAAAAACAAAACAAUUGUCUCAUAUCUUUUGAAUGACAUAGGACUACAUAGACAUAAGAAAGAAAACUGCUCCUAUUUUCAACUAAAGUUUGUGAAUUACUUGCUGCCCUAUUUUUGGGUAGAAGUUCUUCAUCCAUCAAUUAUGCUACAAAUGGGUUGAGAAUCCAAUUCUAUGCCAUCUUCAUCAUAUGCUUGCUCUUGACAGGCA
This 222-nucleotide long non-coding RNA is filed under the name Amborella trichopoda. RNAcentral's name for it is "long non-coding RNA (ATRI_LNC002320)". The record is from RNAcentral. Lineage: Eukaryota; Viridiplantae; Streptophyta; Magnoliopsida; Amborellales; Amborellaceae.